AGAGACAAAGGAGGCGUGACAAAAGAAGAGCCGUUAUCUUAAGGUUUGUUUUUAUUAAUUUUUGUUGGUGUUGUCUCAUUGCCUCGUCGCUUGGCGCCUCUGUCGUUGGGGCGGUCACCUCUUGGAAGCAAGGCGAAGUGGUGCCAGGAGAGGUGCUAGAGGGUUGUCUUGCCUUUAAUAACACUGAUUGAUGUCGUAAAGAUUUUGCGGUCGCCGGACGAUUCUCAUCAAAGUGGAAAGGGAGGAAUCGCCACUUUAAUUUUGA
Molecule: unclassified non-coding RNA, 265 nt
Filed under: Hevea brasiliensis (rubber tree)
Lineage: Eukaryota; Viridiplantae; Streptophyta; Magnoliopsida; Malpighiales; Euphorbiaceae
Source: RNAcentral